Molecule: ribosomal RNA, 406 nt
Filed under: uncultured bacterium
Lineage: Bacteria
Description: partial 16S ribosomal RNA
Rfam family: Bacterial small subunit ribosomal RNA
Source: RNAcentral
AUUGAACGCUGGCGGCAGGCCUAACACAUGCAAGUCGAACGAGUGGCGGACGGGUGAGUAAUGUCUGGGAAACUGCCUGAUGGAGGGGGAUAACUACUGGAAACGGUAGCUAAUACCGCAUACCAUCGGAUGUGCCCAGAUGGGAUUAGCUAGUAGGUGGGGUAAAGGCUCACCUAGGCGACGAUCCCUAGCUGGUCUGAGAGGAUGACCAGGCACAUUGGGAACUAGACACGGUUCCAACCCCCAAGGGAGGGAGGCGGGGGGAAAAUUGCACAAUGGGCGCAAGCCUGAUGCAGCCAUGCCGCGUGUAUGAAGAAGGCCUUCGGGUUGUAAAGUACUUUCAGCGGGGAGGCGUUACCCGCAGAAGAAGCACCGGCUAACUCCGUGCCAGCCGCCGCGGUAAUUC